RNAcentral lists this ribosomal RNA (774 nucleotides) under uncultured Neocallimastigales. Its description in RNAcentral is "partial large subunit ribosomal RNA". It matches the Rfam family "Eukaryotic large subunit ribosomal RNA", at positions 20 to 649 of the family's 3401-position model. Lineage: Eukaryota; Fungi; Neocallimastigomycota; Neocallimastigomycetes; Neocallimastigales. The record is from RNAcentral.
UACUAGAGUAGCACUCGCAUAUCAAUAAGCGGAGGAAAAGAAACUAACAAGGAUUCCCCUAGUAACGGCGAGUGAAGCGGGAAGAGCUCAAAUUUGAAAUCUUAAGGGUUUCCCUUUACGAAUUGUAGUUUAAAGAAGUGUUUUCUGUUGAGGUUUUGGUAAAAGUUCUUUGGAAUAGGACAUCAUAGAGGGUGAGAAUCCCGUAUUUGACCUUUACUUUCAACUUUGUGAUACACUUUCAAAGAGUCGGAUUGUUUGGGAAUGCAGUCCAAAAUGGGUGGUAAAUUUCAUCUAAAGCUAAAUAUUGGCGAGAGACCGAUAGCGAACAAGUACCGUGAGGGAAAGAGGAAAAGAACUUUGAAAAGAGAGUUAAACAGUACGUGAAAUUGUCAAAAGGGAAGCGUUUGACACCAGUGUUGUUUUUCUGUAAAUCAAUUAAAGAACUGUUUAUGCUAAGUUGUUUAGACUUUAUCAGCUAAUCUGCUUAGUUUUGAGCUUUUCUUUAAUGCACUUUUCAGUUAACAAGUCAACAUCAAUUUCUUUUGCUGUAAAAAAGCUUGAGGAAGGUGGCUUGAGAUUCGUCUUAAGUGUUUAUAGCCUCUUGCCUAUGCAGUCGGAGAGAUUGAGGUCUGCAGCGUAGAUCCUUCGGGGCUAAAUGCAUUUGUGCUAAGUUAUAACAUUUUAUAGACAACUUGUUGACUAUGAUUUGUCUUGUAGCUUACUCGCUUAUGUUAUUUUACCUACGCUUAGGAUGUUGAGUAGCGACAUACGCAC